AUGAGGACGCUUUGUUGGAACUGUGACGGGAUUGGCGACCCCGCGACAGUCAGAGAGCUCCGCGAUUUAGUGGAGGCUUGUGCGCCGAUGGUGCUUUGCAUUGUGGAGACACAGCUUGCGACGUAUAGGGUGGAAGGUAUGGCGGGUAGCUUAGGUUUGUCGGGUCGUUUUGGAGUAGAUAGUGCGGGAAGGAGUGGUGGCUUGUGCUUGUUU
RNAcentral lists this ribosomal RNA (213 nucleotides) under Triticum aestivum (bread wheat). RNAcentral's name for it is "partial small subunit ribosomal RNA". Lineage: Eukaryota; Viridiplantae; Streptophyta; Magnoliopsida; Poales; Poaceae. The record is from RNAcentral.